AGUAAUGCUUAGGAAUCUGCCUAUUAGUGGGGGACAACAUCUCGAAAGGGAUGCUAAUACCGCAUACGUCCUACGGGAGAAAGCAGGGGAUCUUCGGACCUUGCGCUAAUAGAUGAGCCUAAGUCGGAUUAGCUAGUUGGUGGGGUAAAGGCCUACCAAGGCGACGAUCUGUAGCGGGUCUGAGAGGAUGAUCCGCCACACUGGGACUGAGACACGGCCCAGACUCCUACGGGAGGCAGCAGUGGGGAAUAUUGGACAAUGGGGGGAACCCUGAUCCAGCCAUGCCGCGUGUGUGAAGAAGGCCUUAUGGUUGUAAAGCACU
RNAcentral lists this ribosomal RNA (322 nucleotides) under Acinetobacter baumannii. RNAcentral describes it as "bacterial SSU rRNA". It matches the Rfam family "Bacterial small subunit ribosomal RNA", at positions 109 to 434 of the family's 1533-position model. Lineage: Bacteria; Pseudomonadati; Pseudomonadota; Gammaproteobacteria; Moraxellales; Moraxellaceae. The record is from RNAcentral.